Coturnix japonica (Japanese quail) is the source of this 911-nucleotide non-coding RNA. Lineage: Eukaryota; Metazoa; Chordata; Aves; Galliformes; Phasianidae. The record is from RefSeq and is a predicted model, not a curated record.
UGUGGGUGGGUAGGGUGGUGUGGAGGUGGGAAACGCUUGAUUUAGGGGAUACCUGCGGGAAAUAGGAGGCUUAGGGGCUUGGAGGACCCACAUCGAGCCCUUUGGAGAGGUGCGCGUACCUCUCUCAUCGCCCUUUAGUGGGCACAGUGCAUUCCCCAGGUUGCUUUGGUGGCAUAAAUGUGGCUGUUCCUUUCACGCCGUGUUUUUAAAUAAAGAGGGAAGCUUUUCUCUAAGGGUUGAGCGACAGGAAAGAGGUUUUUUUAUAGCACUGCCUCCCACACGGGGGUUCCUCCCAGCUGAUGCCUUAUUUAGUUCUUACUCUGCCUACUAUACUCGCACCCGGAGUAUGCAGAGUGCUUUUCAUUUACAAAGGGAAACGCAGUCUAAAAAGGGAAAGACUCAAAACGCAUGGGAAAAGAAUAAAAUGUGCAAGGAAAGGCCUGAUAACAUUGUGUUCUGUUUGUAUUUCAGAGCGAAGGAGGAGAUCUGGGCAGACCUUGAGGGCAAGGCAUAGCUCUUAUCCCCAUUCCUCACUGGAAUGUAUUGUGUGUAUAAACACAGACUUCUUUGUCUACAUCUUAUUUCUUCUCACCUCCCCUUCAGCACUGCAUAGUUGUCCCAGUUCAUUGCAGGGUAGUGGUACCAGAUAGCCUUUAAAGCCACUGCACUCUCAGAAGCACAGUACUGAAGAGACAACCACAAACCACUGUAAUACACUUUUCUGUCUAAAAUCUGUUUUGUAAAGAACAGCAGCAGAAGGCCAGGCAGGAUGCCCUGAGGUCACUGAUCUUCCCUAGCUCUCAUAUAAUAGCACAUAUGGCUCCCAGCUGCUCUGUGUCCAAGAGCAAUAAAUGUUUUAUGUUUCACCAACUGCACUGAGCAUGUCUGGCUUUUUGAGAGGACUGAAGUUG